This is a long non-coding RNA of Oxyura jamaicensis (ruddy duck), 711 nucleotides long. RefSeq lists it as uncharacterized. NCBI's taxonomy places the organism in Eukaryota, Metazoa, Chordata, Aves, Anseriformes, Anatidae. The record is from RefSeq and is a predicted model, not a curated record. The transcript has 3 exons.
AGCAUGCGUGGUGCUGAGUGGAGAAACUGACAGACACACAAGCAAUUUCUGAGACUUUGUCCAUGUCAUACUGGGAAGCAGACAAAGCAAUGAAACGUCAGUCUACCAUGCUGUGAUGAAGCAGAAGUUGGCUCUUCUCAGUGCCUUUCCUGUGUGCUCUACUGCUUUGGAUUUUCCCUCCAGUCAGAAGCGACUAAGAGAUCCCCAGACUGGGACUUUUGGAAUAGGCAGGUACAGCAUCGUUGAUGGGCUGUUAUUGAAGAUUUGCUCUCGACUCUGCCUGUUGCUUGAGAAAUGCUGAAGAAAAUGGUGUUAUCAUCUUGCCCUUGGCUGGGAGCAGGAUGGUCGAGCAGGGCAGGGGUAUCAGGAGCUCCUUUGGAGGCAGCAUCCUGAACUCCAUCUGGGAGUUUUGGUUUGGAAACUCUCCUGCUGGUGCUAUAUUAAAAUGGCUUGCUCAGUGUGAUCACAAGACUGUUUCAAGAAUUCCAUUCAUAGCUCUCAAAAAUGAGAUGAGAACUCUUAAAGGCUCAGAAACUUAAACAAUAUAUAUAACUUCAUUUCAGUAUAAUAGAUUUUUAACUUGGCAUUUCAAAAAUCUGUAAUUCAUCACACUGGUCACCAGGCAAAUGGGGAGAAAAAUCUGGGGUAAGAAUAUCACAACCUGGCUGCAUUUUUUUUUUUUUUCUUUAAUUUGUUCUUCUGUUUGUUCUU